GACGAACGCUGGCGGCGUGCCUAAUACAUGCAAGUUGAGCGCUGAAGGUUGGUACUUGUACCGACUGGAUGAGCAGCGAACGGGUGAGUAACGCGUGGGGAAUCUGCCUUUGAGCGGGGGACAACAUUUGGAAACGAAUGCUAAUACCGCAUAAAAACUUUAAAUACAAGUUUUAAGUUUGAAAGAUGCAAUUGCAUCACUCAAAGAUGAUCCCGCGUUGUAUUAGCUAGUUGGUGAGGUAAAGGCUCACCAAGGCGAUGAUACAUAGCCGACCUGAGAGGGUGAUCGGCCACAUUGGGACUGAGACACGGCCCAAACUCCUACGGGAGGCAGCAGUAGGGAAUCUUCGGCAAUGGACGAAAGUCUGACCGAGCAACGCCGCGUGAGUGAAGAAGGUUGUCGGAUCGUAAAACUCUGUUGGUAGAGAAGAACGUUGGUGAGAGUGGAAAGCUCAUCAAGUGACGGUAACUACCCAGAAAGGGACGGCUAACUACGUG
Molecule: ribosomal RNA, 497 nt
Filed under: uncultured bacterium
Lineage: Bacteria
Description: partial 16S ribosomal RNA
Rfam family: Bacterial small subunit ribosomal RNA
Source: RNAcentral